GGGUAGAAUUCCAGGUGUAGCGGUGAAAUGCGUAGAGAUCUGGAGGAAUACCGGUGGCGAAGGCGGCCCCCUGGACAAAGACUGACGCUCAGGUGCGAAAGCGUGGGGAGCAAACAGGAUUAGAUACCCUGGUAGUCCACGCCGUAAACGAUGUCGAUUUGGAGGUUGUGCCCUUGAGGCGUGGCUUCCGGAGCUAACGCGUUAAAUCGACCGCCUGGGGAGUACGGCCGCAAGGUUAAAACUCAAAUGAAUUGACGGGGGCCCGCACAAGCGGUGGAGCAUGUGGUUUAAUUCGAUGCAACGCGAAGAACCUUACCUGGUCUUGACAUCCACAGAACUUUCCAGAGAUGGAUUGGUGCCUUCGGGAACUGUGAGACAGGUGCUGCAUGGCUGUCGUCAGCUCGUGUUGUGAAAUGUUGGGUUAAGUCCCGCAACGAGCGCAACCC
RNAcentral lists this ribosomal RNA (446 nucleotides) under Klebsiella pneumoniae. RNAcentral describes it as "bacterial SSU rRNA". It matches the Rfam family "Bacterial small subunit ribosomal RNA", at positions 659 to 1104 of the family's 1533-position model. Lineage: Bacteria; Pseudomonadati; Pseudomonadota; Gammaproteobacteria; Enterobacterales; Enterobacteriaceae. The record is from RNAcentral.